CCUACGGGCGGCUGCAGUGAGGAAUAUUGGUCAAUGGGCGCGAGCCUGAACCAGCCAAGUAGCGUGAAGGAUGACUGCCCUACGGGUUGUAAACUUCUGUUAUAAAGGAAUAAAGUGAGGCACGUGUGCCUUUUUGUAUGUACCUUAUGAAUAAGGAUCGGCUAACUCCGUGCCAGCAGCCGCGGUAAUACGGAGGAUCCGAGCGUUAUCCGUAUUUAUUGGGUUUAAAGGGAGCGUAGAUGGGUUGUUAAGUCAGUUGUGAAAGUUUGCGGCUCAACCGUAAAAUUGCAAUUGAUACUGGCAGCCUUGAGUACAGUUGAGGUAGGCGGAAUUCGUGGUGUAGCUGUUACAUGCUUAGAUAUCACGCAGAACUCCGAUUGCGAAGGCAGCUUACUAAACUGCCACUGACAUUGAUGCUCGAAAGUGUGGGUAUCAAACAGGAUUCGAUACCCUAGUAGUC
RNAcentral lists this ribosomal RNA (460 nucleotides) under uncultured bacterium. RNAcentral's name for it is "partial 16S ribosomal RNA". It matches the Rfam family "Bacterial small subunit ribosomal RNA", at positions 338 to 795 of the family's 1533-position model. The record is from RNAcentral.